UACGGGGGGAGCAAGCGUUGUUCGGAUUUACUGGGCGUAAAGGGCUCGUAGGUUGCCAACUAAGUCAGACGUGAAAUCCCUCAGCUUAACUGGGGAACUGCGUCUGAUACUGGAUGGCUUGAGUUUGGGAGAGGGAUGCGGAAUUCCAGGUGUAGCGGUGAAAUGCGUAGAUAUCUGGAGGAACACCGGUGGCGAAGGCGGCAUCCUGGACCAACACUGACACUGAGGAGCGAAAGCCAGGGGAGCAAACGGG
Molecule: ribosomal RNA, 253 nt
Filed under: uncultured bacterium
Lineage: Bacteria
Description: partial 16S ribosomal RNA
Rfam family: Bacterial small subunit ribosomal RNA
Source: RNAcentral